Molecule: ribosomal RNA, 335 nt
Filed under: uncultured Nitrospirota bacterium
Lineage: Bacteria; Pseudomonadati; Nitrospirota
Description: bacterial SSU rRNA
Rfam family: Bacterial small subunit ribosomal RNA
Source: RNAcentral
AACGAACGCUGGCGGCGCGCCUAAUACAUGCAAGUCGAGCGAGAAGGUGUAGCAAUACACUUGUAAAGCGGCGAACGGGUGAGGAAUACAUGGGUAAUCUACCAUCGAGUGGGGGAAUAACCAGCCGAAAGGUUGGCUAAUACCGCGUACGCCUCCGGAUCUUCGGGUUCGGAGGGGAAAAGCCACACUGUGAGUGCGGCGCUCUUUGAUGAGCUCAUGUCCUAUCAGCUUGUUGGUAGGGUAACGGCCUACCAAGGCUUUGACGGGUAGCUGGUCUGAGAGGACGAUCAGCCACACUGGCACUGCGACACGGGCCAGACUCCUACGGGAGGCUG